GUGCACCGCUUCUAAUAUAACAGGCUCUUGUCUCUUCGUGGAUGGACUUUUUUUGUUGUCUUUUUUUACUCUUGAUUCAUUAUGUGAAAGAAUUGUCACGUAACAAAGUUUCGGAAGAUUUAGAUCAGAGGAGGAUGUGACAAUAGUUUAGUAUGCUUGAGAAUUGACUAUUUUACUGCAUUUGUAUGUCUGCCUCAUACUUUUAUCAGCAUAUGUAUGCCUUAGAAAGUGUUACUGUAGAUCCCUG
This 247-nucleotide long non-coding RNA is filed under the name Elaeis guineensis (African oil palm). RNAcentral describes it as "long non-coding RNA (EGUI_LNC060555)". The record is from RNAcentral. Lineage: Eukaryota; Viridiplantae; Streptophyta; Magnoliopsida; Arecales; Arecaceae.